Molecule: ribosomal RNA, 731 nt
Filed under: uncultured bacterium
Lineage: Bacteria
Description: bacterial SSU rRNA
Rfam family: Bacterial small subunit ribosomal RNA
Source: RNAcentral
AACAGGAUUAGAUACCCUGGUAGUCCAUGCCGUAAACGAUGUCUACUAGCCGUUGGGGCCUUUGAGGCUUUAGUGGCGCAGCUAACGCGAUAAGUAGACCGCCUGGGGAGUACGGUCGCAAGACUAAAACUCAAAUGAAUUGACGGGGGCCCGCACAAGCGGUGGAGCAUGUGGUUUAAUUCGAUGCAACGCGAAGAGCCUUACCUGGCCUUGACAUACUAAGAACUUUCCAGAGAUGGAUUGGUGCCUUCGGGAACUUAGAUACAGGUGCUGCAUGGCUGUCGUCAGCUCGUGUCGUGAGAUGUUGGGUUAAGUCCCGCAACGAGCGCAACCCUUUUCCUUAUUUGCCAGCGGGUAAUGCCGGGAACUUUAAGGAUACUGCCAGUGGCAAACUGGAGGAAGGCGGGGACGACGUCAAGUCAUCAUGGCCCUUACGGCCAGGGCUACACACGUGCUACAAUGGUCGGUACAAAGGGUUGCUACCUCGCGAGAGGAUGCUAAUCUCAAAAAGCCGAUCGUAGUCCGGAUCGCAGUCUGCAACUCGACUGCGUGAAGUCGGAAUCGCUAGUAAUCGCGGAUCAGAAUGCCGCGGUGAAUACGUUCCCGGGCCUUGUACACACCGCCCGUCACACCAUGGGAGUUUGUUGCACCAGAAGUAGGUAGUCUAACCGUAAGGAGGACGCUUACCACGGUGUGGCCGAUGACUGGGGUGAAGUCGUAACAAGGUAACC